Molecule: ribosomal RNA, 253 nt
Filed under: uncultured bacterium
Lineage: Bacteria
Description: partial 16S ribosomal RNA
Rfam family: Bacterial small subunit ribosomal RNA
Source: RNAcentral
GACGUAGGGUGCAAGCGUUGUCCGGAUUUAUUGGGCGUAAAGAGCUCGUAGGCGGCUCGUUGCGUCAGCUGUGAAAACCCACGGCUUAACUGUGGGCUUGCAGCUGAUACGGGCGAGCUGGAGUUCGGUAGGGGAGACUGGAAUUCCUGGUGUAGCGGUGAAAUGCGCAGAUAUCAGGAGGAACACCAGUGGCGAAGGCGGCCACCUGGGCUGUACCUGACGCUCAAACACGAAAGCUAGGGGAGCGAACGGG